AUACUUACUUGGAUGGGCUCAAUAGAUGAUAAAAAAGGCCCAUGACUUUCAUUGCACUUUGAAGGAGUACCGACCUAAGGUCUAUCCAAAUGGUGAAUCAAACAUAAUAAUUUAUGGUAAUGAGGGUAUUUUCAAGUUAGUGAAAUAUUUUU
Molecule: small nuclear RNA, 152 nt
Filed under: Trifolium pratense (red clover)
Lineage: Eukaryota; Viridiplantae; Streptophyta; Magnoliopsida; Fabales; Fabaceae
Description: snRNA U1
Rfam family: U1 spliceosomal RNA
About the family: U1 is a small nuclear RNA (snRNA) component of the spliceosome (involved in pre-mRNA splicing). Its 5' end forms complementary base pairs with the 5' splice junction, thus defining the 5' donor site of an intron. There are significant differences in sequence and secondary structure between metazoan and yeast U1 snRNAs, the latter being much longer (568 nucleotides as compared to 164 nucleotides in human).
Source: RNAcentral